Molecule: ribosomal RNA, 459 nt
Filed under: uncultured bacterium
Lineage: Bacteria
Description: partial 16S ribosomal RNA
Rfam family: Bacterial small subunit ribosomal RNA
Source: RNAcentral
CCUACGGGAGGCAGCAGUGAGGAAUAUUGGUCAAUGGUCGGGAGACUGAACCAGCCAAGCCGCGUGAGGGAGGAAGGUACAGAGUAUCGUAAACCUCUUUUGUCAGGGAACAAAGGCGGGGACGUGUCCCCGGAUGAGUGUACCUGAAGAAAAAGCAUCGGCUAACUCCGUGCCAGCAGCCGCGGUAAUACGGAGGAUGCGAGCGUUAUCCGGAUUUCUUGGGUUUAAAGGGUGCGCAGGCGGUCAGUUAAGUCAGCGGUAAAAGCCCGGGGCUCAACCCCGUCCCGCCGUUGAAACUGGCAGUCUCGAGUUGGAGAGAAGUAUGCGGAAUGCGCGGUGUAGCGGUGAAAUGCAUAGAUAUCGCGCAGAACCCCGAUUGCGAAGGCAGCAUGCCGGCUCCACACUGACGCUGAGGCACGAAAGCGUGGGUAUCGAACAGGAUUAGAUACCCUUGUAGUC